AAUGAGAUGUCUGAUUUAAGGUGAUAAAUUGUAAAUUUAUUUAAGGUGUUAUUCAUCUCUCAUUA
RNAcentral lists this transfer RNA (65 nucleotides) under Symplanella brevicephala. RNAcentral's name for it is "tRNA-Tyr". The record is from RNAcentral. Lineage: Eukaryota; Metazoa; Arthropoda; Insecta; Hemiptera; Caliscelidae.